GAUGAACGCUGGCGGCGCGCCUAACACAUGCAAGUCGAGCGAUUAAAGCACCUUCGGGUGUGUAUAAAGUGGCGAACGGCUGAGUAACACGUGGGCAACCUGCCCCUUUCAUUGGGAUAGCCACGGGAAACCGUGGAUAAUACCGAAUACUUCGAGACUUCCGCAUGGAAGACUCGAGAAAGCUCCGGCGGAGAGGGAUGGGCCCGCGGCCUGUUAGCUUGUUGGUGGGGUAACGGCCUACCAAGGCAAUGAUGGGUAGCUGGGUUGAGAGACCGACCAGCCAGAUUGGGACUGAGACACGGCCCAGACUCCUACGGGAGGCAGCAGUGGGGAAUCUUGCACAAUGGGCGAAAGCCUGAUGCAGCGACGCCGCGUGCGGGAUGAAGGCCUUCGGGUUGUAAACCGCUUUCAGCAGGGACGAGGCGAAAGUGACGGUACCUGCAGAAGAAGCCCCGGCUAACUACGUG
RNAcentral lists this ribosomal RNA (467 nucleotides) under uncultured bacterium. RNAcentral describes it as "partial 16S ribosomal RNA". It matches the Rfam family "Bacterial small subunit ribosomal RNA", at positions 28 to 507 of the family's 1533-position model. The record is from RNAcentral.